RNAcentral lists this ribosomal RNA (460 nucleotides) under uncultured bacterium. RNAcentral's name for it is "partial 16S ribosomal RNA". It matches the Rfam family "Bacterial small subunit ribosomal RNA", at positions 338 to 795 of the family's 1533-position model. The record is from RNAcentral.
CCUACGGGUGGCAGCAGUGAGGAAUAUUGGUCAAUGGACGCAAGGCUGAACCAGCCAUGCCGCGUGCAGGAAGACGGAUCUAUGAGUUGUAAACUUCUUUUGUAGGGGGAUAAAGGCAGAUACGCGUAUCUGUCUGAAUGUACCGUAUGAAUAAGCAUCGGCUAACUCCGUGCCAGCAGCCGCGGUAAUACGGAGGAUUCGAGCGUUAUCCGGAUUUAUUGGGUUUAAAGGGUGCGUAGGUGGUCGUAUAAGUUAGAGGUGAAAGCUCGUGGCUCAACUACAGAAUUGCCGGUGAUACUGUUCGGCUAGAGAGUAGUUGAGGUAGGCGGAAUGAAUGGUGUAGCGGUGAAAUGCAUAGAGAUCACACAGAACACCGAUUGCGAAGGCAGCUUACCAAGCCACAUCUGACGCUGAAGCACGAAAGCGUGGGGAUCAAACAGGAUUAGAUACCCCAGUAGUC